GGGAAUGGUGAUGGCCUUAGCUGAAGAGACAAAGAGAUGGAGUCUCACUCUGUUACCCAGGUUGGAGUGGAAUGGCGCGAUCUUGGCUCACUUCAACGUCCGCCUCCCGGGUUCGAGCGAUUCUCCUGCCUCACCCUCCUGUGUAGCUGGAACUACAGAUGCGUGCCACCAUGCCUGGCUAAUUUUUGUAUUUUUAGUAGAGACGGGGUUUCACCAUGUUGGCCAGGCUGGUCUCAAGCUCCUGAUCUCAGGCAAUCCACCCACCUCUGCCUGGGAUUGCAGGUGUGAGCCAUUGCGCCCAGCCUCUUUUGACAAUGUCUUUCUAUGUUGCCCAGGCAGGACUCAAACUCCUGAAUGAUUGAUAUUCAGAAGUGAAGGGGCAGAUCCUGAUUGUUUGGUUUGCAAAAGGGGGUUCACUGAGGUGAGUUGUCAUAAAUUGAUUGAACAGAUUUCUUUUUCUGUUUCUUUUCUUUUUUUUUUUUUUGAGACAGGGUCUGGUUCUGUCACUUAGUCUGAGCGCA
Molecule: long non-coding RNA, 521 nt
Filed under: Homo sapiens (human)
Lineage: Eukaryota; Metazoa; Chordata; Mammalia; Primates; Hominidae
Description: HSALNT0167491
Source: RNAcentral